Molecule: ribosomal RNA, 468 nt
Filed under: uncultured bacterium
Lineage: Bacteria
Description: partial 16S ribosomal RNA
Rfam family: Bacterial small subunit ribosomal RNA
Source: RNAcentral
GACGAACGCUGGCGGCGUGCUUAACACAUGCAAGUCGAACGGAAAGGCCCUGCUUUUGUGGGGUGCUCGAGUGGCGAACGGGUGAGUAACACGUGUGUAACCUGCCCUUGACUUUGGGAUAACUUCAGGAAACUGGGGCUAAUACCGGAUAGGAUCUCCUGCUGCAUGGUGGGGGAUGGAAAGUUUCGGCGGUUGGGGCUGGACUCGCUGCUUAUCCGCUUGUUGGUGGGGUAGUGGCUUACCAGGGCUUUGACGGGUAGCCGGCCUGGGAGGGGGACCGGCCACAUUGGGACUGAGAUACGGCCCAGACUCCUACGGGAGGCAGCAGUGGGGAAUAUGGCACAGUGGGGGGAAGCCUGAUGCAGCAACGCCGCGUGCGGGAUGACGGCCUUCGGGUUGUAAACAGCUGUCGACGGUGACGAAGCGUGAGUGACGGUAAUGGGUAAAGAAGCACCGGCUAACUACGUG